CUAGGGACCUGCAUCUCCUGGACAGUCAGCCGAGUGUUUCCAUGAUACCAGCCAUACCUGAUGCCAGGAGACUCGCUACACUUGGAAGCUCUUCAAGGCAUGCUUAUCUUUGUGAACUGAAUCUUGGAGAAGCAGGAUUGAAAAUAAGAGCUAUCUUUGAGGCUCUAGCACCUACAAGAGACACCCUCCCUCUCCACCGUGGAUCACCUGUCUCACCCGUGUGAGUCUCCACACAGAAACCAGUCAUGGCCCUGCCUUUGCCCCCCUUGAAAUCACCCAAGAGGAUGCUUCAAACUCAGGCAAGCACAACUGAUACUCACUCU
Molecule: long non-coding RNA, 323 nt
Organism: Homo sapiens (human)
Lineage: Eukaryota; Metazoa; Chordata; Mammalia; Primates; Hominidae
Exons: 3
Source: RefSeq, a predicted model, not a curated record